This is a microRNA precursor of Sorex araneus (European shrew), 81 nucleotides long. Ensembl annotates it as microRNA 876. Its record names the gene MIR876. Lineage: Eukaryota; Metazoa; Chordata; Mammalia; Eulipotyphla; Soricidae. The record is from Ensembl.
UGAAGUGCUGUGGAUUUCUUUGUGAAUCACCAUAUCUAAGUUAAUGUGGUGGUGGUUUACAAAGUAAUUCAUAGUGCUUCA